GAUGAACGCUGGCGGCGUGCCUUAAGCAUGCAAGUCGAACGGCUUCCGCAAGGAAGCAGUGGCGGACGGUCGAGUAACGCGUGGGGAUCUACCUUGAAGUUGGACAUAGCUCGUCGAAAGACGGGGUAAUUUCCAAUGUGAACGUAAGUUCAAAGCCGCAAGGCGCUUUAAGAUGAACCCGCGUCCUAUCAGCUAGUUGGUGAGGUAAUGGCUCACCAAGGCAUCGACGGGUAGCUGGUCUGAGAGGAUGAUCAGCCGGAAUAGCACUGAGACACGGGCUAUACAUCUACGGAUGGCAGCAACUGGGAAUCUUGCGCAAUGGACGAAAGUCUGACGCAGCGACGCCGCGUGGAGGAUUGAAGGCCCUCGGGUUGUAAACUCCUUUGACUGGGAAGAUUAUGACUGUACCAGUAGAAUAAGCACCUGCUAACUACGUGCCAGAAGCCUCGGUAAUACGUAGGGUGCAAGCGUUAUCCGGAUUUAUUGGGCGUAAAGUGUUGCGUAGGCUGAUUUGCGCAUUUUGUUUAAAAGACCGUGGCUUAACCACGGUUUUGGGCAAAAUAUGGCAAAUCUUGAUGGUUUAAGAGGGUACUGGAACUUAACAUGUAGCAGUGAAAUGCGUUGAUAUGUUAAGGAACACCAAAGGCGUAGGCAGGUACCUGGGAAACUCAUGACGCUGAGGCACGACAGCUUGGGGAGCGAAGCAGAUUAGAGACCUGCGUAGUCCAAGCCGUAAACGAUGGAUGCUAGUUAGUCCCUUUUUUGGGACCGACGUAAGGUAACCCGUUAAGCAUCCCGCCUGGGGAGUACGAGCGCAAGCUUAAAACUCAAAGGAAUUGACGGGGAGGCGCACAAGCAGUGGAGCAUGUGGUUUAAUUCGAUACGAAGCGAAAAACCUCACCAGGGUUUGACAUGUACUUGCUAAGCCUAUGAAAGUAGGCCUCCUUCGAGGGUAGUACACAGAUGCUGCAUGGCUGUCGUCAGCUCGUGGCGUGAGCUGUACCGUUAAGUCGGGC
Molecule: ribosomal RNA, 1016 nt
Filed under: uncultured Microgenomates group bacterium
Lineage: Bacteria
Description: bacterial SSU rRNA
Rfam family: Bacterial small subunit ribosomal RNA
Source: RNAcentral